Molecule: small nuclear RNA, 325 nt
Filed under: Erinaceus europaeus (western European hedgehog)
Lineage: Eukaryota; Metazoa; Chordata; Mammalia; Eulipotyphla; Erinaceidae
Description: 7SK RNA
Rfam family: 7SK RNA
About the family: 7SK was discovered as an abundant small nuclear RNA in the mid-70s but a possible function has only recently been suggested. Two independent studies have found that 7SK RNA binds the CDK9/cyclin T complex (known as elongation factor P-TEFb).
Source: Rfam by way of RNAcentral
GGGUGUAAGAGUGAUCUGGCUAUGUCACCUGUCACCCACUGACUUCCAGGCUUGGUCCAGCUGAUCUGACGGGCCAGCUAGGUGUCGUCCUCUCUUCCUCACCAGUCCCUGUGCACCGCCUCCUGGAGCUGUGUGCUUGACUCAGUUGAAACUCAGUUGUGCUGUUACUCCUCAGAACAGAGACAAAUUAAUCUCUGGUCAAGGGUGUGUGAGUAGCUGUGCUCCCUCAUUAGAACCUCCAAGAAAGCUAUUAAGAAAAGAGGUUUCACGGCAUUCGGGCUGUAGCACAGCGGGUUAAGCACAGGUGGUGUGAAGUGCAAGGACC